UGCGUAGGUGGUUUCUUAAGUCAGAGGUGAAAGGCUACGGCUCAACCGUAGUAAGCCUUUGAAACUGGGAAACUUGAGUGCAGGAGAGGAGAGUGGAAUUCCUAGUGUAGCGGUGAAAUGCGUAGAUAUUAGGAGGAACACCAGUGGCGAAGGCGGCUUACUGGACGGUAACUGAAGUUGAGGCUCGAAAGCGUGGGGAGCAAACAA
Molecule: ribosomal RNA, 207 nt
Filed under: uncultured bacterium
Lineage: Bacteria
Description: partial 16S ribosomal RNA
Rfam family: Bacterial small subunit ribosomal RNA
Source: RNAcentral